Molecule: ribosomal RNA, 497 nt
Filed under: uncultured bacterium
Lineage: Bacteria
Description: partial 16S ribosomal RNA
Rfam family: Bacterial small subunit ribosomal RNA
Source: RNAcentral
GAUGAACGCUGGCGGCGUGCCUAAUACAUGCAAGUCGAGCGAACAGACGAGGAGCUUGCUCCUUUGACGUUAGCGGCGGACGGGUGAGUAACACGUGGAUAACCUACCUAUAAGACUGGGAUAACUUCGGGAAACCGGAGCUAAUACCGGAUAACAUGUUGAACCGCAUGGUUCAACAGUGAAAGACGGUCUUUCUGUCACUUAUAGAUGGAUCCGCGCCGCUUUAGCUGGUUGGUAAGGUAACGGCAUACCAAGGCAACGAUGCGUAGCCGACGUGAUAGGGUGGGCGGCCACACUGGAACGGAGACACGGUCCAGACUCCUACGGGAGGCAGCAGUAGGGAAUCUUCCGCAAAGGGCGAAAGCCUGACGGAGCAACGCCACGUGAGUGAAGAAGGUCUUCGGAUCGUAAAACUCUGUUAUUAGGGAAGAACAAAUAUGUAAGUAACUAUGCCCGUCUUGACGGUACCUAAUCAGAAAGCCACGGCUAACUACGUG